GACGAACGCUGGCGGCGUGCCUAAUACAUGCAAGUUGAGCGCUGAAGGUUGGUACUUGUACCAACUGGAUGAGCAGCGAACGGGUGAGUAACGCGUGGGGAAUCUGCCUUUGAGCGGGGGACAACAUUUGGAAACGAAUGCUAAUACCGCAUAAAAACUUUAAACACAAGUUUUAAGUUUGAAAGAUGCAAUUGCAUCACUCAAAGAUGAUCCCGCGUUGUAUUAGCUAGUUGGUGAGGUAAAGGCUCACCAAGGCGAUGAUACAUAGCCGACCUGAGAGGGUGAUCGGCCACAUUGGGACUGAGACACGGCCCAAACUCCUACGGGAGGCAGCAGUAGGGAAUCUUCGGCAAUGGACGAAAGUCUGACCGAGCAACGCCGCGGGAGUGAAGAAGGGUUUCGGAUCGUAAAACUCUGUUGGUAGAGAAGAACGUUGGUGGGAGUGGAAAGCUCAUCAAGUGACGGUAACUACCCAGAAAGGGACGGCUAACUACGUG
RNAcentral lists this ribosomal RNA (497 nucleotides) under uncultured bacterium. RNAcentral describes it as "partial 16S ribosomal RNA". It matches the Rfam family "Bacterial small subunit ribosomal RNA", at positions 28 to 507 of the family's 1533-position model. The record is from RNAcentral.